RNAcentral lists this transfer RNA (77 nucleotides) under Ignatzschineria sp. RNAcentral's name for it is "tRNA-fMet(cat)". It matches the Rfam family "tRNA". From Rfam's summary of the family: Transfer RNA (tRNA) molecules are approximately 80 nucleotides in length. Their secondary structure includes four short double-helical elements and three loops (D, anti-codon, and T loops). RNAcentral also lists the same sequence under 1 other name. Lineage: Bacteria; Pseudomonadati; Pseudomonadota; Gammaproteobacteria; Cardiobacteriales; Ignatzschineriaceae. The record is from RNAcentral.
UGCGGGAUGGAGCAGUCUGGUAGCUCGUCGGGCUCAUAACCCGAAGGUCGUUGGUUCAAAUCCAGCCCCCGCAACCA